Molecule: long non-coding RNA, 281 nt
Filed under: Homo sapiens (human)
Lineage: Eukaryota; Metazoa; Chordata; Mammalia; Primates; Hominidae
Description: non-protein coding lnc-FAM217A-2:1
Source: RNAcentral
UUUACCCCGGCCCUCUGAUCCUGGCACUGCCCACUCUUCAUGGCGGUAGCAGCCCCCUGCCUGCUGCCACACUUUUAAGUUGAGAAAAGGUGCUGUUCCUACAACACAGAUCAAGCCACUCCCUUGCUUGAAACACUCCAGUGGCAGUCCACAGCUUCUGGGACAAGAGCCAGCCUGUCACCCAGAGCAGCCCCAUCUGCUUCUCCAGCCUCACAGCUGUCCUCGUUAUUCUCAGAUCCUGUAUUUGCGAAUUUGCCUCUUUGAUAAAAUGUGCUUGUAAG